Molecule: long non-coding RNA, 567 nt
Filed under: Phoenix dactylifera (date palm)
Lineage: Eukaryota; Viridiplantae; Streptophyta; Magnoliopsida; Arecales; Arecaceae
Description: long non-coding RNA (PDAC_LNC004158)
Source: RNAcentral
CCACCUCCUAUACUAAUAACAUUAUAUAGAAAGGUGGAUGCAUGCCUCCGUGCUUACUAUAAAGAGGUAGUCUGAGUCUAUGUAUACUUUAUCGUUCCCUUAGAAAGGCAAAUCUAAUUUCCAUUAUCCUUGUCCUAGAUAUCAAUUAUUUUUGAAAAAAAGAUUGCUAUGUUGAAUGCAAAAGUCCUCAUGUUAUAAUAAGUGGCAAUCAACAGGUCUGGUCAAAGUUUGGAUUUGAGUUGAUCCCAUAUAUUCAAGCCCAGAUGACCUGAAUACUAACCGCAGCCACCGCUAACACAAAACAACCCAUUGACCCACUUUAGGCCCAACCCCAUUCAAUCUGGGGCUAUAUAUUAAAUGAGUAUGCUAUUUUUGUACGCUUUUGGAAUAUUUGUGCAAUAACCCAUCUCUCAUUUUAUUUCUAAAUCGUUACAUAAAUGGCCUAAUAACUCAUAUAAUUACCAAUAUAUAUAUAUAUAUAUAUAUAUAAUACUCCUCUAGGAUCUGCUGUGUUGAGGGACCUAGCCCAACCUAACUUGACCUGCUUAAACGGGAUUGCUGACCCAU